This 387-nucleotide ribosomal RNA is filed under the name uncultured bacterium. RNAcentral's name for it is "bacterial SSU rRNA". It matches the Rfam family "Bacterial small subunit ribosomal RNA", at positions 30 to 416 of the family's 1533-position model. The record is from RNAcentral.
AUUGAACGCUGGCGGCAUGCCUUCCACAUGCAAGUCGAACGGUAACGGGCCUUCGGGUGCCGACGAGUGGCGAACGGGUGAGUAAUGUAUCGGAACGUACCUUUCAGUGGGGGAUAACGUAGCGAAAGUUACGCUAAUACCGCAUAUUCUGUGAGCAGGAAAGCAGGGGAUCGCAAGACCUUGCGCUGAUUGAGCGGCCGAUAUCAGAUUAGCUAGUUGGUGAGGUAAAGGCUCACCAAGGCGACGAUCUGUAGCGGGUCUGAGAGGAUGCUCCGCCACACUGGAACUGAGACACGGUCCAGACUCCUACGGGAGGCAGCAGUGGGGAAUUUUGGACAAAUGGGGGGCAACCCUGGAUCCAGCCAUGCCGCGUGAGUGAAGAAGGCC